CUUCAGCGACCCGAGCCACAGCGGCUCGGCGCGCCCCUGGCCGUAGGUGGCCAGCACCGACUGCGCCUC
RNAcentral lists this antisense RNA (69 nucleotides) under Saccharothrix australiensis. RNAcentral's name for it is "ASpks TB sRNA". It matches the Rfam family "ASpks TB sRNA". The record is from Rfam by way of RNAcentral. Lineage: Bacteria; Bacillati; Actinomycetota; Actinomycetes; Pseudonocardiales; Pseudonocardiaceae.